AGACAUUGCUGGACGGCAGAGGUACUAGUGACAUGUCUGGUGGCCACACUGAGCGCUUGUCUCUUAUUGGAGCUCUGCUAGCUCUCUACUGACACCUCUGGCCAAAUUUAAUAUGACACAUUUCUGCUAACCUCAGGUUUUUACAUUAUCAUAUGUUACUUUGUGACUAUAUGGGCCUGAGGUCUUGCUAUAUGUGAUUCUGCACCGCCGGCUUCCUUCCUCUUAAUUUCAUCCAGAGGAGUCUUUCUGCGUCCUGAUAGUGGUGUCCUUUCUCUGGGGUGUGCAGGGUUGAUUAAACGCUGUGAUUGAAAAGUGGUUCUUAUACUCGUUGACUACAUAUACUUCGGCCCCUGAUGAAGGGUAAUCCGAAACGCGUAGGGCCGUGUAUGUCUUCAUGGACCUUGCUUUUCAAUGACACCUAACCAUGUAUUGUUUUUAAAUAAUUCUAUGUGAUAUAUGUGUACAAUUUCCAUUUUUGAAUAUUAAAUUAUCUAUUUUUUUGG
Molecule: long non-coding RNA, 503 nt
Organism: Rana temporaria (common frog)
Lineage: Eukaryota; Metazoa; Chordata; Amphibia; Anura; Ranidae
Exons: 4
Source: RefSeq, a predicted model, not a curated record